UACGGGGGGGCAAGCGUUGUUCGGAAUUACUGGGCGUAAAGGGCUCGUAGGCGGCCAACUAAGUCGGAUGUGAAAUCCCCAGGCUUAACCUGGGAACUGCAUCCGAUACUGGAUGGCUUGAAUCCGGGAGAGGGAUGCAGAAUUCCAGGUGUAGCGGUGAAAUGCGUAGAUAUCUGGAGGAAUACCGGUGGCGAAGGCGGCAUCCUGGACCGGCAUUGACGCUGAUGAGCGAAAGCUAGGGGAGCAAACGGG
RNAcentral lists this ribosomal RNA (252 nucleotides) under uncultured bacterium. Its description in RNAcentral is "partial 16S ribosomal RNA". It matches the Rfam family "Bacterial small subunit ribosomal RNA", at positions 524 to 776 of the family's 1533-position model. The record is from RNAcentral.